UACGUAGGGGGCAAGCGUUGUCCGGAAUUAUUGGGCGUAAAGCGCGCGCAGGCGGUCUGGAAAGUCAGGUGUGAAACCUCGGGGCUCACCCCCGAGCCUGCAUUUGAAACUUCCAGACUUGAGAGCAAGAGAGGGGAGUGGAAUUCCUAGUGUAGCGGUGAAAUGCGUAGAUAUUAGGAGGAACACCAGUGGCGAAGGCGACUCCCUGGCUUGUCACUGACGCUGAGGCGCGAAAGCGUGGGUAGCGAACAGG
This 253-nucleotide ribosomal RNA is filed under the name uncultured bacterium. RNAcentral's name for it is "partial 16S ribosomal RNA". It matches the Rfam family "Bacterial small subunit ribosomal RNA", at positions 524 to 776 of the family's 1533-position model. The record is from RNAcentral.